GAAUGCUGACAUAAGUAACGAUAAAGCGGGUGAAAAGCCCGCUCGCCGGAAGACCAAGGGUUCCUGUCCAACGUUAAUCGGGGCAGGGUGAGUCGACCCCUAAGGCGAGGCCGAAAGGCGUAGUCGAUGGGAAACGGGUUAAUAUUCCCGUACUUGGUGUUACUGCGAAGGGGGGACGGAGAAGGCUAUGUUGGCCGGGCGACGGUUGUCCCGGUUUAAGCGUGUAGGUGUGUGUUCCAGGUAAAUCCGGUUCACUUUAACACUGAGGCGUGACGACGAGGCACUACGGUGCUGAAGCAACAAAUGCCCUGCUUCCAGGAAAAGCCUCUAAGCAUCAGGUAACACGAAAUCGUACCCCAAACCGACACAGGUGGUCAGGUAGAGAAUACCAAGGCGCUUGAGAGAACUCGGGUGAAGGAACUAGGCAAAAUGGUGCCGUAACUUCGGGAGAAGGCACGCUGACACGUAGGUGAAGUGAUUUACUCAUGGAGCUGAAGUCAGUCGAAGAUACCAGCUGGCUGCAACUGUUUAUUAAAAACACAGCACUGUGCAAACACGAAAGUGGACGUAUACGGUGUGACGCCUGCCCGGUGCCGGAA
RNAcentral lists this ribosomal RNA (599 nucleotides) under Salmonella enterica. RNAcentral describes it as "partial 23S ribosomal RNA". It matches the Rfam family "Bacterial large subunit ribosomal RNA", at positions 1292 to 1874 of the family's 2925-position model. The record is from RNAcentral. RNAcentral also lists the same sequence under 2 other names. Lineage: Bacteria; Pseudomonadati; Pseudomonadota; Gammaproteobacteria; Enterobacterales; Enterobacteriaceae.